Molecule: long non-coding RNA, 1163 nt
Organism: Capsicum annuum
Lineage: Eukaryota; Viridiplantae; Streptophyta; Magnoliopsida; Solanales; Solanaceae
Exons: 2
Source: RefSeq, a predicted model, not a curated record
AUCAUCGACAACAAAACAACAAUAGCUACACGCCAACCACACGGGAAAAACCAAUGGAACAACGGCAGCAAUAUCCACGACGCCGAUCAAUGUUCGGACCACCUAAUAUUGGGCAAUUAGGUGGCUUUUUUGCCUCUCCUCUCGUUUCCAUCAACAUCGCCUCAAUCCCUUUAUCUUCUUAGCUUUUUUCUGAAAAAACAGAGACUCAAAAGACCCUUUUUUUCUCCAUGGCAGACCUCUGAAAGGUGAAAUAUAUGAGCACUCAAUGGUCUUUGGAGUUUUGUUCCUUUGAUUCAACAAACAAAUAGUGGUUCCCCUUGAAGAACUCAAAUCAUCAAAAUCCAAGUCUCAAUCUUUCAAAUCUUUUCUGAAAAAAAGUGAUUUUCUUUUCCCCAAUGCUCUAAACCCGUCACUCAGUUUGAAAUUUUUAAAGCUUCAGAGAGAUGCUAUGACAGCCCAAUUUUUUGGCAUAUAAAAGGGGGGUUUUCCACCCCUUUAAGGAUAAGGUUAAGUGUGGUAGAGAAAUUAGGAAAUUUUGGAGUUUUCAUCACUCUUUUACUCACUGCUUUCUCUAUUUUCUUUGCUUUAUUUUUCUUUGUUCCGAUUUACUCACGCCACCCUCGCUGUUACUUUCCGUCGGUCAAACAAGUGUUGGAGUUAGUGCUGGAAUUGCUCUCCAGCUUGUCUUCUUAGUUCGCUGCCCCGAAAAAAGUUAAACACUACCUCCAUCGAGUCAAAGCCUCAAUCAAAUCCACAAACGAGCGGGUAUACAAUCCGUAUACAGUUAUAUGCAGCUGGUAUACAUUGGAAGCAACAACUGCACACUAUUAUGCUGUGCACAAUAAAAAAUGGAGGGGAAACAAGCAGUUUACGAAGCUGAUAUACGUUGUAUAUUCCAACGGUAAACAGAAAAACGCAGUGAAAGGAGCUGCUGAUAUACAACAGAUAUACAGGGGCAAAAAAUGGGCUAAAGUCUAUGGAAUUGGUCCAAAAUUGGACAGAUUUUUAAUGGGCCAAAAGGGGCUCAAUUUUCACUCUUCUCUAUUUAAUUAAUUAUGGAAAAAUUGCAGUUUAUAGAUAAAAAUCUUUUAUGAUUACAUGGUAUGGGUAAUGUUUUAAAUAAUUACAAUUCAUGAGUAAUUGUUAGUUAAAAUUUUGUUCUA